Molecule: long non-coding RNA, 204 nt
Filed under: Zostera marina
Lineage: Eukaryota; Viridiplantae; Streptophyta; Magnoliopsida; Alismatales; Zosteraceae
Description: long non-coding RNA (ZMAR_LNC002702)
Source: RNAcentral
GGAAUGAACGGAAGUUGCUCGUCGGCGGACAGGAAGCCUCGUCGGACAGGAAGACGCUCGCCGGACAGGAAGAUCGCCGCUUGCCAGACAGGAAGAUCGCCGCUCGUUGGACUGGAGGUGAUGAAGGAUUUGGGGUUUUAACUUGAGGAAGGAUUUGGGGAAAUAAGUUAACGUUUUGGGGAUAACACGAUUUGGGGGUUUUUU